AAAACAUCAACAGUGAAGAAUGGGACGAUAAUAAGUUAUGAU
RNAcentral lists this non-coding RNA (42 nucleotides) under Trypanosoma brucei brucei. Lineage: Eukaryota; Euglenozoa; Kinetoplastea; Trypanosomatida; Trypanosomatidae. The record is from RNAcentral.